CGCUAUCGAAAAUCAUGCAUUGGAUGGAUGCCCGAGCAUUGAGAAGGAAGGACGCUUUCAGAGACGAAAGGCCAUGGGGAGAUAUUUUUCUAUGAUCCAUGGAUCUCCGAUCGGGAAACCAUAUCCAAGCUCCGUGGCUAGUCUGCGCUCUUUGGACUUUUCAAACUUAGUGAACUGAAACAUCUGAGUAGCUAAAGGAAGGAAAAUCAACCGAGACCCCUUUAGUAGCGGUGAGUGAGAGCGGAACAAGGGUUUUCAUCAAAAGAAAUCCGAAGCGGUUUCAUUCGAUUUGUUGUGGAUUGGAUGAUGGAAAAACCAGCAAGCAGCAAGAGUAGUUAGAAAAGUUGCCAUAGCGCGCCCUACGGAGUUGUACAAAGUCAGCAACCGUUUUGGGGCGCAAGCAUAGGCAACACAGGACUGAUGACGGGGUGGGGCGCGCAGUGAACUGGUUUUCUAAAAAGAUUGGAAGAUUCGGCCAAAGAAGGUGAUAGCCCUGUUCAUUCGUUCCCAUGGUUCGAUCCUUCCCAGUAAAACGCGGCGUGUUCGAAUGAUGAUCACUUUUACACGAGAAAGGGGGACCACCCUCUAAGCCUAAGUAUUCCUCAAUGACCGAUAGCGUACAAGUACCGUGAGGGAAAGGUGAAAAGAACCCCAACCGGGGAGUGCAAUAGAGAACCUGAGAUCCGAUGCGAACAAUCAGUCGAAGGAGAGGAGCGCGGGCGCACUCACUCUAACGGCGUACCUUUCGCAUGAUGGGUCAGCGAGGAAAUGGGAACAGCGGCUUAAGCCAUUAGGUGUAGGCGCUUUCCAGAGGUGGAAGAUUUACGUUCUUCCUAUUUGACCCGAAACCGAUCGAUCUAGCCAUGAGCAGGUUGAAGAGAGCUCUAACGGGCCUUGGAGGACCGAACCCACGUAUGUGGCAAAAUACGGGGAUGACUUGUGGCUAGGGGUGAAAGGCCAACCAAGAUCGGAUAUAGCUGGUUUUCCGCGAAAUCUAUUUCAGUAGAGCGUAUGAUGUCGAUGGCCCGAGGUAGAGCACUCAAUGGGCUAGGGUGGCCCCCAUUUCGCUUUACCAACCCCAGGGAAACUCCGAAUACAGGCCGUCAUCCUUAGUACAGACAGACUGAUUGGGUGCUAAGAUCCAAAGUCGAGAGGGAAACAGCCCAGAUCAUACGCUAAGGUCCCUAAGCAAUCACUUAGUGGAAAAGGAAGUGGUCGAGCGAUGACAACCAGGAGGUGGGCUUGGAAGCAGCCAUCCUUUGAAGAAAGCGUAAUAGCUCACUGGUCUAGCUCCAUGGCACCGAAAAUGUCUCAGGGCUCAAGUGAUUCACUGAAGUGACGAGACCUUGAAAGCAACUUUUUCAAGUGUCAGUAGCGGGACGUUCUAUCAAUCGGGGAAGGUUUUUGGUGACAAGACCUGGAGAUAUCAGAAGUGAGAAUGCUGACAUGAGUAACGAGAAAUCCUGUGAAAAACACGAUCGACUGCCAUCGGAAGGCUUUCUGCGUUCAGUCAAUCUACACAGAGUGAAUCGGUCCCUAAGGAACCCCCGAAAGGGCUGCCGUCCGAUGGGUACACGAAAGUGACGAAGUUGCUUUGACUACUAAACCAUGCUUGGAUCGUCGAAGUGAAUUGGAUGAUCGGGCUGAGGGCUGCCCCCUCUUCCCCUCGCUCUCCUUUCCUUAAUAUUCACCGUCGAGUCAUCAAAGACGUCAACUAAUUCAGAGGGGCUCGGCUGGCCCGGUCGCCCUACGCUACUGGCGCUUCCAAAGGCGAAGCUCUCAUCUUUGGCGACCAGCAAACGGAGGGAUAAAACCUGUAGUUUUGAAGCAAGGGAUGAGCGCGAAAGCCGUUGCGAUUCCGUACACGUGCAUACGUUUUCUUGCUGGGGCGAACACGGAUUUCUCUCUAAAGGCGAAGAAAAAGAAGUGGGCGAACACUCGGCCCAGCGGGCGAACAUGCCGGCUCCGGCUCCGCACACCUGCUGACACCUUUCAAAGCACUUUCACGUGUGAAUCGAGGUCGUCUUGCCGAACUCCUUCCUUUCUCAUUGCAGUCCUCACCUUUUUCAUCUUUCGUAGGGGCCUUUAGUCUUUUGAUUAGAGUGGAGGUGGCGAGAGAGCAGAGCGUACCGCCCUGCCAUAGUCGCGAGGAUCUUAAUAGUCGGUCGCGACUGUUGUCAUAGUCAACGACGGUUGAAACUUCUAGGAAAAAACUUCGAAUUGGGAGGGCGAUCCUCCUGGUGAACUGACCGUACCCCAAUCCGACACAGGUGAACAAGUAGAGUAUACUAGGGCGCGUCGAGAGAACCAUGUCGAAGGAACUCGGCAAAAUGACCCCGUAACUUCGGGAGAAGGGGUGCUCUCCUAUCUUUUGAUUAGGAAAGUGGCACAUACCAGGGGGUAGCGACUGUUUAUUAAAAACAAAGGACUCUGCUAAGUGGUAACACGAUGUAUAGAGUCUGACACCUGCCCGGUGCUGGAAGGUCG
Non-coding RNA from Triticum urartu, 2487 nucleotides. The record is from Rfam. NCBI's taxonomy places the organism in Eukaryota, Viridiplantae, Streptophyta, Magnoliopsida, Poales, Poaceae.